This 696-nucleotide long non-coding RNA is filed under the name Homo sapiens (human). RNAcentral describes it as "HSALNT0014638". Lineage: Eukaryota; Metazoa; Chordata; Mammalia; Primates; Hominidae. The record is from RNAcentral.
AGGCAAUAUAAAGUCCUGGUUCACUCUCAGGAACGAGAGCUGACGCAGUUAAAGGAGAAGUUACGGGAAGGGAGAGAUGCCUCCCGCUCAUUGAAUGAGCAUCUCCAGGCCCUCCUCACUCCGGAUGAGCCGGACAAGUCCCAGGGGCAGGACCUCCAAGAACAGCUGGCUGAGGGGUGUAGACUGGCACAGCACCUUGUCCAAAAGCUCAGCCCAGAAAAUGACGAAGAUGAGGAUGAAGAUGUUCAAGUUGAGGAGGAUGAGAAAGUACUGGAAUCAUCUGCCCCCAGGUAACACUGAAUACUCAGGAGCAAGUAAUGGGUGGUAACAUAUGAAGAUGUCUAGGAGGCACACCCUCUCUGGCAUCUAUGGUGGGCCAAAAGCCCGCAUCCCCUUGGCCACAGUAUGUGAAAUUGAACCCAGCUUAGACACAGGGUGCGGCAGCUGUCGUGUUUCUCUAUGUGUGCCAAGUGUCAUGUCUGUACCAUACAGGGAUAGCUGAGUCUUCAUCCUCCUCAGCUCCUAUCUGUCCAGUGCACUGAACACCAGCUGCUCUCUUCCUCUCUGGCUCCCAUGGCAGCCAUGGUCUGUUGCAGAGAGAAGAGGAUUGCCUGUUCCCUCUUUAAGGGAACCUCCGUUUUGCUUUCUGGAACCACUCUCUUAAUGCCGCCUGUCAAAACCAGCUAGUACUCCCUG